UCCGUAGGCGGGCAAUUAAGUCAGAGGUGAAAUCCCACAGCUCAACUGUGGAACGGCCUUUGAUACUGGUUGUCUUGAGUUACAGUGAAGUAGAUAGAAUAUGUAGUGUAGCGGUGAAAUGCAUAGAUAUUACAUAGAAUACCGAUUGCGAAGGCAGUCUACUAACUGUAUACUGACGCUAAUGGACGAAAGCGUGGGGAGCGAACAGGAUUAGAUACCCUGGUAGUCC
This 229-nucleotide ribosomal RNA is filed under the name uncultured bacterium. RNAcentral describes it as "partial 16S ribosomal RNA". It matches the Rfam family "Bacterial small subunit ribosomal RNA", at positions 568 to 796 of the family's 1533-position model. The record is from RNAcentral.